UACGUAGGGUGCGAGCGUUAAUCGGAAUUACUGGGCGUAAAGCGUGCGCAGGCGGUUAUAUAAGACAGUUGUGAAAUCCCCGGGCUCAACCUGGGAAUUGCAUCUGUGACUGUAUAGCUAGAGUACGGUAGAGGGGGAUGGAAUUCCGCGUGUAGCAGUGAAAUGCGUAGAUAUGCGGAGGAACACCGAUGGCGAAGGCACUUUACUGGGCCAGUACUAACACUCAGAGACGAAAGCUAGGGGAGCAAACAGG
RNAcentral lists this ribosomal RNA (253 nucleotides) under uncultured bacterium. RNAcentral describes it as "partial 16S ribosomal RNA". It matches the Rfam family "Bacterial small subunit ribosomal RNA", at positions 524 to 776 of the family's 1533-position model. The record is from RNAcentral.